This 1270-nucleotide ribosomal RNA is filed under the name Salmonella enterica subsp. enterica. RNAcentral's name for it is "partial 23S ribosomal RNA". It matches the Rfam family "Bacterial large subunit ribosomal RNA", at positions 711 to 1961 of the family's 2925-position model. The record is from RNAcentral. Lineage: Bacteria; Pseudomonadati; Pseudomonadota; Gammaproteobacteria; Enterobacterales; Enterobacteriaceae.
AGACCCGAAACCCGGUGAUCUAGCCAUGGGCAGGUUGAAGGUUGGGUAACACUAACUGGAGGACCGAACCGACUAAUGUUGAAAAAUUAGCGGAUGACCUGUGGCUGGGGGUGAAAGGCCAAUCAAACCGGGAGAUAGCUGGUUCUCCCCGAAAGCUAUUUAGGUAGCGCCUCGUGAAUUCAUCUCCGGGGGUAGAGCACUGUUUCGGCUAGGGGGCCAUCCCGGCUUACCAACCCGAUGCAAACUGCGAAUACCGGAGAAUGUUAUCACGGGAGACACACGGCGGGUGCUAACGUCCGUCGUGAAGAGGGAAACAACCCAGACCGCCAGCUAAGGUCCCAAAGUCAUGGUUAAGUGGGAAACGAUGUGGGAAGGCCCAGACAGCCAGGAUGUUGGCUUAGAAGCAGCCAUCAUUUAAAGAAAGCGUAAUAGCUCACUGGUCGAGUCGGCCUGCGCGGAAGAUGUAACGGGGCUAAACCAUGCACCGAAGCUGCGGCAGCGACGCUUAUGCGUUGUUGGGUAGGGGAGCGUUCUGUAAGCCUGUGAAGGUGGCCUGUGAGGGUUGCUGGAGGUAUCAGAAGUGCGAAUGCUGACAUAAGUAACGAUAAAGCGGGUGAAAAGCCCGCUCGCCGGAAGACCAAGGGUUCCUGUCCAACGUUAAUCGGGGCAGGGUGAGUCGACCCCUAAGGCGAGGCCGAAAGGCGUAGUCGAUGGGAAACGGGUUAAUAUUCCCGUACUUGGUGUUACUGCGAAGGGGGGACGGAGAAGGCUAUGUUGGCCGGGCGACGGUUGUCCCGGUUUAAGCGUGUAGGUGUGUGUUCCAGGUAAAUCCGGUUCACUUUAACACUGAGGCGUGAUGACGAGGCACUACGGUGCUGAAGCAACAAAUGCCCUGCUUCCAGGAAAAGCCUCUAAGCAUCAGGUAACAUCAAAUCGUACCCCAAACCGACACAGGUGGUCAGGUAGAGAAUACCAAGGCGCUUGAGAGAACUCGGGUGAAGGAACUAGGCAAAAUGGUGCCGUAACUUCGGGAGAAGGCACGCUGACACGUAGGUGAAGUGAUUUACUCAUGGAGCUGAAGUCAGUCGAAGAUACCAGCUGGCUGCAACUGUUUAUUAAAAACACAGCACUGUGCAAACACGAAAGUGGACGUAUACGGUGUGACGCCUGCCCGGUGCCGGAAGGUUAAUUGAUGGGGUCAGCGCAAGCGAAGCUCCUGAUCGAAGCCCCGGUAAACGGCGGCCGUAACUAUAACGGUCCUAAGGUAGCG